Molecule: long non-coding RNA, 587 nt
Organism: Nicotiana attenuata
Lineage: Eukaryota; Viridiplantae; Streptophyta; Magnoliopsida; Solanales; Solanaceae
Exons: 2
Source: RefSeq, a predicted model, not a curated record
UUGUAUGAAGCAAAAAAUUGCACUGCAAUAACUCAUAAUUCUCUCAUCUUUCAUCCGUCUUAGUAAUACUGUUGUCAUGGCUCGCAAUUCUGCUCUCUAUUUCACUGUUGCACUUAUGGUGAUGUCUGUUUAUUUGGCUCAUUCUCCAAAAGUGAGAAUAGUUGCCGGGAGAGACGUGUCAACGACUAUAACAGAACUCAAAUCAAAAUUAAGUGAUCCUAUCCUAAUGGGUGGUUGCGGUGGAUACUGCAGGCAGGCAAGUGAUUGCUUUGAUAGGAGGUGUCCCCGUUGUUACUACGAUGUUAUUAAACUAACAUACGGUUGCCGCUAAAUGAUCAUUGGCCAACACAAUAUAUGAAGUCUGUUGCUUCUCAAUAUGAGUAGCUUUUUGUGUGGUUGAUCGACUUUGCUUUUGUGUGUUUUCCUUUUUACCUUUCAGUUUUCUUUUUCUAUGGAAAACAAUAAAACGACUAAGUUCUGCUUCUACCUAGACUAGAUCAGAACAAUGUCGAAUGUAACAUCAAGAUGGGUUGUGUUGGCCUACAAAUAUUACUGCUAUAUAUCUACUUUUAAUUUCAAGAUUAAGA